AGCGAUGGACUAGGCUGCCGCGUCAGAGCUGGGUGAUCCAGUUCUGGUGAGGAAAGUCCGGGCUCCGCAGGGCAUGAUGCCGGGUAAUUCCCGGGCGGGAGCCUUCCCAGGUUCCCGACAGAGAGCGCAACAGAAAGUAAACCGCGGUGUUUCCUGUUGCCGGUAUGCCGGCUGGGGAAUACCGUAAGGGUGAAAGGGUGGGGUAAGAGCCUACCGCGGGAUCGGCAACGAUUCCGGCACGGCAAGCCUCAUCAGGAGCAAAGUCAGACAGCGGCUGAACGGCCCGUUCUGAGCCGCGGGUAGACUGCGUGGACAGGGUCCGCGAGGAUCCUGCCAGAUAGAUGGCAGCCGGUACGCAUAGUACCGCACAGAACCCGGCUUAUGGUCCAUCGCUUUUU
This 398-nucleotide RNase P RNA is filed under the name Treponema sp. RNAcentral's name for it is "RNase P RNA component class A". It matches the Rfam family "Bacterial RNase P class A". Rfam says of the family: Ribonuclease P (RNase P) is a ubiquitous endoribonuclease, found in archaea, bacteria and eukarya as well as chloroplasts and mitochondria. Its best characterised activity is the generation of mature 5'-ends of tRNAs by cleaving the 5'-leader elements of precursor-tRNAs. Cellular RNase Ps are ribonucleoproteins. The record is from RNAcentral. Lineage: Bacteria; Pseudomonadati; Spirochaetota; Spirochaetia; Treponematales; Treponemataceae.